ACGGUGAAUACGUUCCCGGGCCUUGUACACACCGCCCGUCACACCAUGGGAGUGGGUUGCAAAAGAAGUAGGUAGCUUAACCUUCGGGAGGGCGCUUACCACUUUGUGAUUCAUGACUGGGGUGAAGUCGUAACAAGGUAACCGUAGGGGAACCUGCGGUUGGAUCACCUCCUUACCUUAAAGAA
RNAcentral lists this ribosomal RNA (185 nucleotides) under Klebsiella pneumoniae. RNAcentral describes it as "partial 16S ribosomal RNA". It matches the Rfam family "Bacterial small subunit ribosomal RNA", at positions 1359 to 1533 of the family's 1533-position model. The record is from RNAcentral. RNAcentral also lists the same sequence under 4 other names. Lineage: Bacteria; Pseudomonadati; Pseudomonadota; Gammaproteobacteria; Enterobacterales; Enterobacteriaceae.